This 1209-nucleotide long non-coding RNA is filed under the name Malus domestica (apple). RNAcentral describes it as "long non-coding RNA (MDOM_LNC000815)". The record is from RNAcentral. Lineage: Eukaryota; Viridiplantae; Streptophyta; Magnoliopsida; Rosales; Rosaceae.
UCCGGGUUUCGGGUCCAAUCCGUCCAUGGUAUGUGAGCCUUGGCCCUGUGGCGGAAACUAUGGCUACCCAAUGCCUUGCCAUUCUUGCUAUAACCAUAAUUUCAGACCCUCUUACCCUCAUCCUUCAAUGCCAUCACCGCAACACUUCUAUGGGGGUUAUCCUGUUCCGCAUCACGAGGCCUACCCUGUUCCAUAUGUGCCGCCGCCUCCUCAUUAUUCCAUGGAGAUUCCUAAAUAUGAGUAUGAUAAGAUGGUACCUCGAAAUUAUCACUGUUUUGGGUGUCCUAAUCAUGUUUGCCACCAGAAUGUAGAUAAGGGUGUGAAGAUUGAAGAACAAGGAUCGGAUGUUGUCGAUAAGAAGGCAGAUUUGGUUCCGGUUCAUAUGAACAACAACCAUUAUCCAACUUUGUGGUUUCCACCGGAUUCCUUGAAUGGUAGAGAGCAAAGGAAGGUUUCCGAACCGGAGGUCGUAGAGGAAACAAAAAUUCCAACUGAUUCUAAGCCUACAGAGGGUUUGAAGUCUCAGGGAGAUCAAAGGCAUAUUCGGUUCCCUUUUGAUCUGAAUGACAUUGGGGCUUCGAUGCAAGGAGGAAAUAGAGAGCCACGUCAAGAACAGCAGGUGGAGGAUAAAAAGAAGGAAUUCCCAUUUCCAAUUUUCUGGAUGCCACCUUAUCAGGAGGCUGGAAAGAAGGACAAGAAUGUCAAUGCUUCUCGUGAUCACAAGACUGAGGAUGAACAUAAGCAAAUCCCAUUUCCAUUCUUCUGGUUUCCUUACGGAAACAAGCAGGAGGAAGUUCGAAAGGAGGACAACAGGGAGGUGAAUUCCGCACCAAAAAUUGUUCCAAUGAAAAUUACUGGGGGUGGUGUCACAAUGGAGGCUGGUACAAAUGAAGAGAAACCUGCUGGUCAGGGUGCUGAGGAGAGGAAGGAAAACACUGCUAACGUGAAAAGCAUAGUUGUGAAGCAAAUGGAUCCACGUAAGGAGGAAAAUAACUCUGAAGACGAGGAGAGAAGAGAAAGGAGUGUCCCCGUGAAACAAGUGGAAGAGAAUGUGGGGAACAAACCUUCUGGUACGAGUGUUAAGAGACAGUCCUCUUCCCCUAAAAAGUCAUCUGAGCUACCUCCCGUCUGUCUGAGAGUUGAUCCACUGCCGAGGAAGAAGAAGGCCAAUGGCAGUUCACGGUCUCCUAGUCCUCCUGCUCAAAAAGG